This 253-nucleotide ribosomal RNA is filed under the name uncultured prokaryote. RNAcentral's name for it is "partial 16S ribosomal RNA". It matches the Rfam family "Bacterial small subunit ribosomal RNA", at positions 524 to 776 of the family's 1533-position model. The record is from RNAcentral.
AACGUAGGUGGCGAACGUUAUCCGGAUUUACUGGGCGUAAAGAGUGCGUAGGCGGCUUUUCAAGUCGGAUGUAAAAUCUCCUGGCUCAACUGGGAGGGACCAUCCGAUACUGUUGAGCUCGAGUGCAUCAGAGGAGAAUGGAAUUCCCGGUGUAGUGGUGGAAUGCGUAGAUAUCGGGAGGAACACCAGUGGCGAAAGCGGUUCUCUGGGAUGUUACUGACGCUGUUGCACGAAAGCGUGGGGAGCAAACAGG